GAAAGAAGGCCUGCAAACACAAGGCUAAGGUUCCAACUCACUCCCUGGAGGAUGCUACGUCUCACAGGAAGAUUACAGAGGCGAUUGCAGUAUGAAGGCAACCAGCCAUGUCGUUGCUGUCUGACAAAUGGGAUGCGAUUUUCUUGUGCUUUACACUUGGGGCUCAGAUUAUUUUCGUGGAAAAUUUUUAGCACUUUGAGAUGUUAUAACACUGGCAUCCUAGAGACCGAAAUAUGAAAUAACUUAGUACAAAAUAGGUCCUCGUGGGAAGCCAAUGUGCACGUUUUCCCACCAUAUUCUGCCAACGGUGCACUAUUCUCAACUACUCCAUUUAUCUCUACGGGGCAAAUAAUGGAUGUGUUCCAGCACCCACUCAAUUUCUGUGUUUUCGUCUAGCUGAAAUAAUAAUAGAUGUAAAAUAUGGCUCUCUGUCUAAAAUUAGCCUCUGGUUAGACACUAUCAGCUACCACUCAACACAAGGAAAUUUUACACAGAAAUAAAAUGAUUACAUAGGUAGAAUGAUGCAUGA
This is a long non-coding RNA of Homo sapiens (human), 529 nucleotides long. Lineage: Eukaryota; Metazoa; Chordata; Mammalia; Primates; Hominidae. The record is from Ensembl.